Fukomys damarensis (Damara mole-rat) is the source of this 5440-nucleotide long non-coding RNA. RefSeq lists it as uncharacterized. The transcript has 5 exons. NCBI's taxonomy places the organism in Eukaryota, Metazoa, Chordata, Mammalia, Rodentia, Bathyergidae. The record is from RefSeq and is a predicted model, not a curated record.
CCGCCUCGUGGACAACCUGUGGCCUCCACCGAUUUUACGAUUUGACGGAGAAGAACCGUUCACAACCAGCCAGUGCUUCUCCACCCGGUGUUGCCUCUUUCCUAGGAGGAAAGCUUUCUCAAGAAAUGACAGGUUUAUGAAGGCUUUCCGUUUGGAGAAUUUCACAGUGUACAGCCCAUGACUCACUGAUGGAGUGGUGAAGGAAAUGUUCAGCAAGUUUCUCUUGAGAGCAGACAUAAGGUGGCUCAACAUCGGACCCUUGCCACGAUCAGCUCACGAUGCCAACCACUGGCACAUUACUACUUUGGUUUCAAUCAGUGGUCCAAAAGGGCAAUCAAGGAUUGUUGUCAUUCCUCAUGACAAGGAAGAUGGCCCAGAAGCUUGCUCUUCAGAUGGUUUUGUCAGAUGUACUCCAGAAACUGUCCGUUGUGGCUUAGUGUGCCCAGCGUCAUGCAAGGCAGGAGGGAUAAGAGGGUGAAUGAAGCAACUUCGUCAACUUCACAUGCUAGGGCUGUGCCGGGGAAGAAAUGAGUAGUUGAACAGAUGAAGGAGGACUGUGAAGGUAGUUUUCCUCUCCCUCUCCCUCUCCACCAGCCUCCUUCUCCCUCCACCCCCUCCGUGAGACAGGGACUCUCUGGAGUUCAGGCUAUGAACUUACUCUGUAGCCCAAGCUGGUCUCAAACUCACUGCAAUCCUCCUGCCUCAGCCUUGAGAGUGUUGGGGUUCUGUGUGCUACCAUGCCGACUUUAGGGUAGUGUUUCAAGAAAAUUAUUUAGCCUGCAAACUUUGACAUGCUAAAUGUCUAGUCCACGUGUGCCGCGAAACAUGGCCUUGUCACAGCUAGAUGAAUGACUGCUGAGCCGUGGUGGGAUGGGGAGAGUUCUGUCCUACUGAUGUGAAGAACGGGCUACUCGGAUUCAAACCCUUGCUCUUACUUGCACUUGCCCAACUCCAAAACCCUUCUGCAGAAAUUGUGGCAUCAUCAUGGAGUAUAUGCAGCCCCAGCCUAACAGAGGGGAAUGAGUUCUCCAACAUGGAACCUGAUACUGAGCGUUUAGAGCAAAUGACAACAAUGUGGAAGAAAUUGCCAUAUUGCGUACUCUGCUGCCUACCACCCUAACUGGUCCUCAUUUUGUAGGUCAGGUGCUUUUCUUGGAAGCUGUAUACGCAGGAGGAGGGAGAACUUUUGUAAGGUUGUAGCUUGGAGCAGGAAGAGCUCAGGCUGCCAGACUGGGUUACUACUUCUGAGUAUCCCAAGGCCCAGCCCUGUGACUUUCAUGGGAAGCUCUGCCAGGCCCCACCCAAAGGGCUUUGGAUGCUUACACUUCGUAGGUCUGAGGUGCCUAUCCUGCUGCCAUACAGGGAGAUGGCCCUGGAGGAAGCCACUGUCACCUCUCCUGGGGCAAAGGGUUGGCCCUGGUCCUGUAGCAAAAGGCUCCCUCGGACCACUUCAGCCCAUGUGGGGCAGAACCUCAUAAAGGUUUCUUAAACCUUUAUGUCACAAAUGGUGGGGCAGGGUGGAAAGUACAAGGUUAUCAAGCACUUGCAGCUAGUGGCUACCGGAAAGAUUCCAGCACGUUUGGUUGGAACAUUACCGGCCUAGGUCUUGGUGACCAAGCCUUCUAUCGUUUUAUUUAUACUUCACUUCUGCUCACAAGGCCCCUUGUGUGGCCACAUGUGUGACUACUGGAUUUAAUGUCUCCACUUCCGGAGUGGGCCCAAUAACCAGUCCACCUGAACUCAGAGCUCCUGGGGCCCAAAUUUUGUAUUUUUUUUUCCCUACAAGUCUAAUCUCCAAAAGGAAUCACUCCAUGCCCUUAGUGCCCCCACAGAGCUGGGGGGAUUCGAGUACCUCGGGUCCUCUGUGCCUACAAACAUGUUGCUUCCACGUAAAGAGGCGAUGGGGGAGCUGUCGCCAGAUGAGUUUACUGCUCCACAUCAGGUCUGCAGGACCAGUUUGCCCAGCAAGAGAGGCUCUCAGAGGCAGUUUCAGGUGGGGAUCAGAACCAAGCUGUAGCUUUGCCUCCUCCACUCAAAAGGAAGACAGAUUUCUGCUCUAGAGGAGGCUAUACAGGCCACCAGUCACUUUUACUUGUUCCACCUCCACUGAGUAAAAAUUGGAUGGCACCACAGUUUGUUUCCCCCCUGAACCUGAAGAAGGAUCCAGCUCAGCACUGGCAACUUGCUAAGGAGGUUUUUGGAACUUUUUAUCAAUCGGCAAAACCUAACCGGUAGAAAGAAAUCUUGCAGGAUUAUAACAUAGACCCAAGUAUGGAUACAGCUGACCACGACAGCCUUCAUCUGGGGUAUCAGGAGAACCCAGAAGAGUCUGCACAGCCCUGUGAGCACAAGGAAUCCCCACAAUUCCAGCUGGAGGCCCAAAUUCAAAAUCCAGAGCCUCCCCAAAUCCAGGAACCUAUACCUCAGGGAGAAGCCUCAUGUCAACUCUCACAGCCCCCUGAGAAAGCUGAACCUUUUUUGAGCCAUCAGAAGGCCCGCAGUCAGCAUAAACUUGCUACUGAGAAGGAUGUAAGUCAGCUAUCAGGGCAUCAGGAGGCCAAUGUUCCAUCUCCAAGUGGCCGUGAAACUCAUCCCUUGUUUUUGCCAAUUGUCAACUUGCAACCUGAGGAUGUGGGGGCUGUGGCAGCUGCAGAGAUAGAUGAGGAGGCUCAUCCUACUCCUAGGCAGCAGCAGUCCCUGGGGCAGUCUUCAGAGAAUCCUGAGGACGUAGAACCAUCUCUGUCCUCAAAGCCCACUGAGGGUGUCACACUCUCACCAGUCCAGCAAGAGCUCUCCGCUCAGCCUCCAGACUCCUCAAAGAAGAGUAGUUCUUUUCUACUGGCAGAUAGCAUGAUAUUUUCUUCUCUAGAUGUGGAAACAAUACUCACAAAUUGGCAUUUAGUGUUGCCUAAGUCGAUAGUUGCACAUGUGGAAUUGGAGGUUACUGCAACUGCAAAGUCCCCUCUGGAGGCAGAGCCUUCUGCCGCCCAGGAUUCCUCCCUGUUCAGCCCACAAGCUCAGUUCCAGAAGCUGAACGAGUAGAGCUUUCUCCAAUCCAGACUGAUCCUGCUACCCUGCCUGCAGAAUUCCUUGAAAAAUUUGAAUCUUCUUCAGCUGAAGGAGAAGUUGUAGCUCAGAAUCCAGUGCCCCGAGAGAGUUAGAUUCUGCUGCAACUCAGGAGGAGUUCCCCAGGGAAUCUUCCGCAGUGCCACUGCCAGCCUCUCCUCAGGCUCAAGAGCCAGUGCUGUAUGAGGUGACAGAUCAGCAUCCAACAGUGAACCGUGACACAAUCCCAUCUCGGGAUAUGGGCUUUACCUUAAGCCCCGAACUCACCACAGAGCCUGUCCAUUCUGUGGGCCUGCAGGAGGCUAUCGUUUCUCCUCUGAAACACCCUGAGGUGACACUUGCACAUCCAGUCCCGGGGCAGGCUCAGCGGCCCAACCUGAAUCCUGGCAUGAUUCCACCAUUGAACCUUAAAUAUGCCAGAACUUUUCUACCUACUUCAGGGGUCCAACUUUCCCUGACUUUGCAGGAGACCCCAUCUCAGCCUCCAGAACCAUCUAUGGAGCCCGUAGCUGGACCUACAGAACCACAUGAGAUGGCAAACCCAGAACCAUUAGGUCAGCACUCAGCUGAGCCUCCAGCAUCACCCAGUGUCACGGCACCACCACUGCACACGGGCUUUAUCCUAAGUCCAAAACUCACCACAGAGGCUGACCAUUCUGUGGGCCUGCAAGAUGUGACACAGGAACAUCCAGUCCUGGGACAGUCUCAGCAGCCAGACCUGAGUUUCCUGACAUGAUUGAAGCCUUUGAACCAGGAACAUCCCAAAACUGUUCUACCUACUUCAGGGUCCAACUUUCCUCCACUUUGCAGAAGACCCCAUCUCAGCCUCUAGCAUCACCCAGUGUCAUGGCACCACCACUGCAUACGAGCCUUACCGUAAGUCCUGAACUCACCACAGAGCAUGUCCAUUCUGUGGGUCCGCAGGAGGCUAUCAUUUCUCCUCUGAGACACCCUGAGGUGACACUUGCACAUCCAGACCUGGAGCAGGCUCAGCAGCCCAACCUGACUCCUGGCAUGAUUCAGCCUUUGAACCUGGAACAUUCCAGAAGCUGAACUUUCUCCAAUCCAGACUGAUUCCUCAAGCUCGGGUUUCUCCAGGUGGGAAACACAGCAUACUCCCUUGUCAGGAACAUGUGUUCCUUUUUGAGAAGAGAGACAGUGAGCAGAUAGAGCAUUUGUUGUUGUUGUUGUUCCCAAAGGACAAGUAAGCAGAUGGUGAUUAGUGCUUGCUCUGAAAUGUGUCAAAGGUAUAAUCUCCAACUAUGUCACCCACAUACUUACCUGAUUAUCUGUCCAGAAUCCACCUCUCUCCUCAGUAGCACAGAAUGAGCAAAGAAAAGGGGGAAAUUGUGAAGGGAGCUCAUACUAAGAGGGAUGCAGAUAGCGUGCUUCUCUCUGAAAACACAUUUUUCAUACCUCGGACGCUCGCUUGGCCUCAAUGAUGCAGUGGUUUGGAGUGUGGAGUCCACGGCCAAGAGGCCCUACUUCUGUUCUUUAGUAGCUGUGUCACAUUUUCUCUGAGCUUCAGUUUCUCCAUUUGUAAAGUGGGAAUUACUUAAACAUACAUCUAAGUAUUGUUAAAGGGAUUAAAUAGCAUAAUUUAUGGAAAUGAUCAGUAAGCACAGUGUCCAACACCCAUUGAAAGUGUUUGUUUUGGUUACCUAUGGCUGAAUAACAAACUGUCCCCAAAACUUUCUGGUUUAAAAUGAUAACUAUUUUAUUAUCCCUCAUGAUUCUGUGGGUCGACUGAACUCAGGUGGGCAGUUCUGUCGCAUGUGAGGCCAGCUGGAAUUGCAGCCAUCGAGGGCUCAGCUGACUGCAGACUAACUGUGGCGAUGGAUAGGGAUAGCUGGAAGGCGGAGCUCAGCUGGAAUGACUGCUUCUUUCCUCUCCUUGGAGUAUCACAGCAUCUCCUCCACACGAUCUAGAUCUAGACAGUAAGGUAGUUGUACUUACUACGUGGCAGAUUUCUUCACUACAGAGCAAAAGUAAAAGAUCCCAGCCCUUCACACUUGGCCCAGAAUUGGCACGUUUUAUCUUCUGGCACAUCCUCUUUAUUAAAAUGACUCAUCAGUUCAGUCCAAAUACAAAGUGGGAGGAGAGUACACGGGUAUGAAUAUUGGGAGGCACUGUCCGUUGGGGAGUACCUUUGGAAAGCAACUACUACAUCGGUUAAUAAUAUUUUCAGUGUUGAUGUUAUGGCUUGUGUAUUGCUGCCCCCCAAAAGCCUCAUGCAGUCAUGGGGGGGGGCUUUCCUGGAAUUGAUUCAUGGUAUAAUGCUAUACUCAAGGGCCCUAGGACUGAGGGUGUGAGAGCUACCUGCCCUAAGUAAUCUUCAUAAAAUAAAGGGGGCAGAAAGGUGCCGAAAGAAAGC